AACGAACGCUGGCGGCGUGCUUAACACAUGCAAGUCGAACGCGAAAGGGACUUCGGUCCCGAGUAGAGUGGCGCACGGGUGAGUAACGCGUAAGUGAUCUACCCCUGUAUCUGGGAUAACAACUCGAAAGGGUUGCUAAUACGGGAUACACUUUUCCGGACGCGAGUCUGGGAGAGGAAAGGUGACCUCUUCUUGAAAGUUACUGUAUAGGGAUGAGUCUGCGUACCAUUAGCUAGUAGGUAGGGUAAUGGCCUACCUAGGCUACGAUGGUUAGCGGGUCUGAGAGGAUGAUCCGCCACACUGGAACUGGAACACGGACCAGACUCCUACGGGUGGCUG
Molecule: ribosomal RNA, 339 nt
Filed under: uncultured Pseudomonadota bacterium
Lineage: Bacteria; Pseudomonadati; Pseudomonadota
Description: bacterial SSU rRNA
Rfam family: Bacterial small subunit ribosomal RNA
Source: RNAcentral